Molecule: ribosomal RNA, 504 nt
Filed under: uncultured bacterium
Lineage: Bacteria
Description: bacterial SSU rRNA
Rfam family: Bacterial small subunit ribosomal RNA
Source: RNAcentral
UAGUCCACGCUGUAAACGAUGAUCACUCGAUAUAGGUUUUUACCUGUGUCUUAGCGAAAGCGUUAAGUGAUCCACCUGGGGAGUACGCUCGCAAGAGUGAAACUUAAAGGAAUUGACGGGGGACCGCACAAGCGGUGGAGCAUGUGGUUUAAUUCGAUGAUACGCGAGGAACCUUACCAGGGCUUAAAUGUAGUCUGACAGCUUUAGAGAUAGAGUUUUCUUCGGACAGAUUACAAGGUGCUGCAUGGUUGUCGUCAGCUCGUGCCGUGAGGUGUCAGGUUAAGUCCUAUAACGAGCGCAACCCCUGUUGUUAGUUGCCAGCGAGUAAUGUCGGGAACUCUAGCAAGACUGCCGGUGCAAACCGCGAGGAAGGUGGGGAUGACGUCGAAAUCAUCACGGCCCUUACGUCCUGGGCCACACACGUGCUACAAUGGUAGGUACAGAGAGCAGCCACUUGGCGACAAGGAGCGAAUCUAUAAAACCUAUCACAGUUCGGAUCGGAGU